This 407-nucleotide ribosomal RNA is filed under the name uncultured bacterium. Its description in RNAcentral is "partial 16S ribosomal RNA". It matches the Rfam family "Bacterial small subunit ribosomal RNA", at positions 30 to 526 of the family's 1533-position model. The record is from RNAcentral.
AUUGAACGCUGGCGGCAGGCCUAACACAUGCAAGUCGAGCGGAGCGGCGGACGGGUGAGUAAUGCCUAGGAAUCUGCCUGUUAGUGGGGGAUAACGUCCGGACACGGGCGCUAAUACCGCAUACUCUAAGAUCCGCCUAGGUCGGUAUAGCUAGUUGGGGGGGUAAAGGCCUACCAAGGCGACGAUCCGUAACUGGUGUGAGAGGAUGAUCAGUCCAACUGGAACUGAGAAACGGUCCAGACUCCUAAGGGAGGCAGCAGUGGGGAAUAUUGGACAAUGGGCGAAAGCCUGAUCCAGCCAUGACGCGUGUAUGAAGAAGGUCUUCGGAUUGUAAAGCACUUUAAGUUGGGAGGCGUUACCAACAGAAUAAGCACCGGCUAACUUCGUGCCAGCAGCCGCGGUAAUUC